This 335-nucleotide unclassified non-coding RNA is filed under the name soil metagenome. RNAcentral describes it as "partial contains 5.8S ribosomal RNA, internal transcribed spacer 2, and large subunit ribosomal RNA". The stretch from base 1 to 120 matches the Rfam family "5.8S ribosomal RNA", at positions 35 to 154 of the family's 154-position model. The record is from RNAcentral.
GAUGGAGAACGCAGCGAAAUGCGAUAAGUAAUGUGAAUUGCAGAAUUCAGUGAAUCAUCGAAUCUUUGAACGCACAUUGCGCCCGCCAGUAUUCUGGCGGGCAUGCCUGUUCGAGCGUCAUUUCAACCAUCAAGCCCCCGGCUUGUGUUGGGGACCUGCGGCUGCCGCAGGCCCUGAAAACCAGUGGCGGGCUCGCUAGUCACUCCGAGCGUAGUAAUACAUCUCGCUCAGGGCGUGCUGCGGGUUCCGGCCGUUAAAAAGCCUUAUUUACCCAAGGUUGACCUCGGAUCAGGUAGGAAGACCCGCUGAACUUAAGCAUAUCAAUAAGCGGAGGA